This 253-nucleotide ribosomal RNA is filed under the name uncultured bacterium. RNAcentral's name for it is "partial 16S ribosomal RNA". It matches the Rfam family "Bacterial small subunit ribosomal RNA", at positions 524 to 776 of the family's 1533-position model. The record is from RNAcentral.
UACGAAGGGUGCAAGCGUUACUCGGAAUUACUGGGCGUAAAGCGCACGUAGGCGGAUAUUUAAGUCAGGGGUGAAAUCCCGGGGCUCAACCCCGGAACUGCCUUUGAUACUGGGUAUCUGGAGUAUGGAAGAGGUAAGUGGAAUUCCGAGUGUAGAGGUGAAAUUCGUAGAUAUUCGGAGGAACACCAGUGGCGAAGGCGGCUUACUGGUCCAUUACUGACGCUGAGGCGCGAAAGCGUGGGGAGCAAACAGG